This 254-nucleotide ribosomal RNA is filed under the name uncultured Armatimonadota bacterium. RNAcentral describes it as "uncultured Armatimonadetes bacterium partial 16S ribosomal RNA". It matches the Rfam family "Bacterial small subunit ribosomal RNA", at positions 524 to 776 of the family's 1533-position model. The record is from RNAcentral. Lineage: Bacteria; Bacillati; Armatimonadota.
GACGUAGGGUGCAAGCGUUGUCCGGAUUUACUGGGCGUAAAGGGCGCGUAGGCGGCUCGUUAAGUGUGAAGUGAAAUCCCGAGGGCUCAACCCCGGAACUGCUUUACAUACUGGCGAGCUUGAGGAUUGGAGAGGCUUGUGGAAUUCCUGGUGUAGCGGUGAAAUGCGUUGAUAUCAGGAGGAACACCCAUGGCGAAGGCAGCAAGCUGGCCAAUAUCUGACGCUGAGGCGCGAAAGCGUGGGUAGCAAACAGG